This is an RNA transcript of Planococcus citri (citrus mealybug), 2687 nucleotides long. It is a transcript of the gene named heat shock 70 kDa protein II-like, with no coding region annotated. The record is from RefSeq and is a predicted model, not a curated record. NCBI's taxonomy places the organism in Eukaryota, Metazoa, Arthropoda, Insecta, Hemiptera, Pseudococcidae. The transcript has 9 exons.
AUGGGCCUACACCAGUCUUAUCUCCAACGUAUACCUGCUAUAGAUAAGCCUUUUCUCAUCUGCGAUUGGAUUGCAAAUUAGAAUGCAAGUAUAUUAUCGGAUGUAGUUUGUAAAUUGUUGAUGUGUAGUUCAUCUUGUAUACGAGCUUAGAGAUUGUGUCGAUCACGCAUUACUAAUUAUUACGAGUGUAUGGGAAUUUUUAGAUGACAUAUUUGAUCUGAUUCGCGAUUCCGUUAUUGGUUCGAUAUAUCCAAAAAUUGCGGUGUCGGUCAUCCUAUAUAUAACAAAAGUAUUCAACGUGUAGUGUAGAUAUUCGGUGUACGAGUAUUUACCAUUUACCUGAUAGUGAAAACGUCUGGUAGAUUAGCCGUAACAAUGGAUGAUCUAGCGAUUGGAAUAGAUUUAGGUACUACAAACUCUUGUGUGGGUGUUUUUCGCAAUGGAAAAGUUGAAAUUAUCGCGAACGAUCAAGGGAACAGAACGACGCCGAGUUGCGUUGCUUUUACUGAUGAAGAAAUCUUGAUCGGAGAAGCCGCCAAAAAACAAUUUACUAGAAAUCUUCGUAAUACUGUUUACGACGUCAAAAGAUUGAUAGGUCGUAAAUUCGAAGAUUAUGCAGUUCAGGCUGAUAUUAUGCAUUGGCCUUUCCCGGUCGUUAACGAUGAUAACAAUCCCAAAAUCAAAGUUGAACUCGAAGGCACUUCUAAAAAUUACUUACCCGAAGAAAUCUCUUCGAUGGUGUUACGAAAAAUGAAAGAAACAGCCGAAGCUUAUUUGGGCCAAGCAGUUACAAAAGCUGUAAUCACUGUACCAGCUUAUUUCAAUGAUUCUCAAAGAUCGGCUACCGUUGAUGCUGCGAAAAUUGCCGGCCUGAACGUAUUACGCAUCAUAAAUGAACCUACAGCUGCUGCCAUUGCUUACGGUCUCGAAAGAAAAGUCUCCGGCGUGCAAAACGUAUUAAUUUUCGAUCUCGGUGGUGGAACAUUCGAUGUGUCCAUUUUAACCAUUCAAGAUGGUAUUUUCGAAGUGAUUUCAACCGCAGGUGAUACUCAUUUGGGCGGUGAAGAUUUUAAUGACGCGCUGGUUGAUUAUUUCGUGGAAGAAUUCAGACGUAAACAUAAUCAAGAUAUCACCAAAAACAAGAAAGCUCUACGUCGUCUGCGAACUGAUUGCGAAGGAGCGAAGAGAACUUUAUCAUUAGCGAAAGACGACGAUAUCGAAAUCGAGCACAAUGGCAUAGAUUUCUGCAGUUCAAUCUCUCGUGUUCGUUUUGAAGAAUUGAACUCCGAUUACUUUCGAAGAAUAAUGGAACAAGUUGAAAAAGCGAUCGAAGAUGCUGAAAUCGAUAAAAACCAAAUCGACCACGUCGUUUUAGUGGGUGGUUCGUCUCGCAUCCCUAAAAUACAGAAAAUGUUGCAAGAAUUUUUCAACGGAAAGGAAUUAAACAAAUCAAUAAAUCCGGAUGAAGCUGUAGCAUACGGAGCUGCCGUCCAAGCCGCCAUACUAAAUGGCGACGAGUCGAAGGAAGUGCAAGAUAUUGUGUUAUUCGACGUUACACCGUUGUCUUUGGGUACUAGUGUCGGACUCGAAGAUAAAAUGGAUGUGAUAAUUAAACGUAACACUCCGAUUCCAGCUAGAAGAACUGAAAGAUACUUUACAAUGGACGAUAAUCAAACCGAAGUUCUUAUUGACGUUUAUGAAGGUGAAUAUUCUACGAUUAAGAAGAAUCAUUGGCUCGGUGCGUUUUUUCUCACCGAUAUUUCUCCAAGACCCGCUGGCGUAGCUGAAAUUGACGUAACGUUCGAAAUCGAUUCUGAUGGUAUAUUAAAUGUGACUGCUGUUGAAAAUUCGACUGGUAAUACGAAGCAGCUAACCAUAACGUAUGAUAAAGGACGUCUCAGCAAGGAAGAAAUUGAUCGAAUGAUCGAGGAUGCUGAAAAAUUGCGAGCUGAACAAAAAAACCGAAAAGGUGCAUUAGUCGCCAAGUUAGCUUUAGAAUCGUACUGUGUUGAGGUGAAAAGCGCCGUGCAAGAUGAAAAAUUCAGUUAUAAAAUCGAUAUAUUCGAUAAAGACGUGAUUUUGAAAAAAUGUGACGAAACCAUUGUCUGGCUUAAUUCCGUCUUGCCUGCUGAAAAAGAUCUAUUCGAGCAUAAGCUAGCAGAAUUAAGACAAAUAUUCGAUGUGAUCAUUUCAAUAGCCCGCUGCCCUAGUGGAAAAAACGACAAAUAUUGUGAAAUACUAAACGUACCAAAAAAUGCCUCCCAAGAUGAAAUUAAGAAAGCCUAUAGAGAAAAGGCUUCCAAAUAUCAUCCCGAUAAGUACAAAGGAGACAAGGAAGUGGGAAACAUGUACUGGUUGACCUUAGGGAGAGCAAAAGAUUAUCUCAUUGAGCUAGUGGCCGGAGUGUUUCGUAGAAAAAGAAAAAUAAUUUCAUGAAAAUGAUCUUCAGAUUUAAUCAUAGGUAAACCUUACCUAAUCUACUUCACUGGUUUUUUGAUUGUAACGCGAUCUUUUUCAACUUGAGGAUUUUGAAGGUCAUUGGUACGUUUUAUGAGAGGUUCAGAUUUUGUUUGUUGAAUAUAUACAUAUUCAAUUUUGCUAUGUUAUUUUUAUUUUGCUUCAUUUUCACUAAUGUGCUGGUUUUUUCUUUUGUGUUCAAAAUAUGUAUCUAGUAGAUAAUAAUAUGA